GACGAACGCUGGCGGCGUGCUUAACACAUGCAAGUCGAACGGUGAAGCGCCUUCCUUUUUGGUGGGUGUGGAUGAGUGGCGAACGGGUGAGUAACACGUGAGUAACCUGCCCCCUUCUUCUGGAUAACCGCAUGAAAGUGUGGCUAAUACGGGAUAUUCUGGGUCUGUCGCAUGAUGGGUCUGGGAAAGAUAUUGUUUCGGUGGGGGAUGGGCUCGCGGCCUAUCAGCUUGUUGGUGGGGUGAUGGCCUACCAAGGCGGUGACGGGUAGCCGGCCUGCGAGGGUGGACGAUCACACUGGGACUGAGGCACGGCCCAGACUCCUACGGGAGGCAGCAGUGGGGAAUAUUGCACAAUGGGCGCAGGCCUGAUGCAGCGACGCCGCGUGAGGGAUGGAGGCCUUCGGGUUGUGAACCUCUUUCGCCAGUGAAGCAGGCCUGCCUCGUUUGUGAGUGGAUUGACGGUAGCUGGAUAAGAAGCGCCGGCUAACUACGUG
Molecule: ribosomal RNA, 494 nt
Filed under: uncultured bacterium
Lineage: Bacteria
Description: partial 16S ribosomal RNA
Rfam family: Bacterial small subunit ribosomal RNA
Source: RNAcentral